RNAcentral lists this ribosomal RNA (253 nucleotides) under uncultured bacterium. Its description in RNAcentral is "partial 16S ribosomal RNA". It matches the Rfam family "Bacterial small subunit ribosomal RNA", at positions 524 to 776 of the family's 1533-position model. The record is from RNAcentral.
UACGUAAAAGGCAAGCGUUGUCCGGAAUCAUUGGGCGUAAAGAGCGUGUAGGCGGCUGGGUAGGUCCGCUGUGAAAACUCGAGGCUCAACCUCGAGACGCCGGUGGAAACCGUAAAGCUAGAGUCCGGAAGAGGAGAGUGGAAUUCCUGGUGUAGCGGUGAAAUGCGCAGAUAUCAGGAAGAACACCAACGGCGAAGGCAGCUCGCUGGGACGGUACUGACGCUGAGACGCGAAAGCGUGGGGAGCGAACAGG